RNAcentral lists this long non-coding RNA (2026 nucleotides) under Calidris pugnax (ruff). Its description in RNAcentral is "lncRNA (ENSCPUG00000006366.1)". The record is from RNAcentral. Lineage: Eukaryota; Metazoa; Chordata; Aves; Charadriiformes; Scolopacidae.
AAUCUGAAAUACAAAGUAUUUAGAGGACAAGAACAAUCUGACUUACUGUUUGUUAUUUACGUUCCCUUUUCCAGGGAGUGAAAAUGCUGGAAAUAAAGGAGAGGAGCUACUUUGCAGAAUUUCCAAAAUUUCAAAUUUGUAGAAAUUUGCCCCAGAAAGAGGCCGCUGGUGAAGCUGGGAACUCAUCCGUCCCCCUGGUGUCACAGGGAGAGGCCAAAGCUGGAACCAGUUCCCGAAGCAUUCGUGAUCUGGUGGCUCACCAGGACAUUGGUUCGAGACACGAGACUCCAAUCCAUGAGUUUUGGGAGAUGCUCCUGUGGCCACGUGGACCAUCUCGAGUAGUGUCUGUGUCUGUCUGUCGGCCAGGAGCUGGUCCAUCUGUCCGGUCCUGUCGGCGGUCCCAUGUGCUGGAGAGGAUGCAGUAGAUCUGUGUUCCUGGGCUCGGUGGGUUUCCCCCAUGGACCUUUAUCAUCUCCUGGCUGCAUGGACUUUACCGGCUCGGGGGUGAAGUGUGAAGAGCAGAAACUCGCUGUGCUCUCAGGAGAUGCUGCAUCUGCUCCUCUCCUGCUCCAUCCUCUGCGACUUUCAAGCAAAUCACUCCGGCCCCAGCCGUCCUCCUCCAGGGGAAUCACAGCUUCCUUGGUCACCAGGUGCUGGUAGAGGAACUUCAAGUUUUGCUGGUGGAUUCACACGUCGAGGUGGAGCUGGGCUGUGCCACAUGAGGGGCAGCAGCUUGUGGGAAAGGUACGAGCUGGAGAAAUGAGUGGUGCUUUGAAAAAGCUGCUGUGGGCUCUGAGAACAUGAGGGGAGCUCCUGAGGUGGAACCACAGGAGACGCCAUGCAGAUGGGCACCUGGGAGUGAUGCUGCUGGGGAUGCAGCUCCUGGGAGGGACUCGGGAUUUGGGGGCCACCUUCUCUGUGCCCCCAUCUCUGGCACCCCAGCCCUUGCUUUUAUUUAAAACCAUAUCUAUGUGCCGUGCCCUGUUAAGUAGUGAAUCUGGGAAAUAAUCAGCCAGAGGCUUGAGCUUGUCCCCGCGUUGGUCUCUCAGAUCUUCAGCGGCACAGAACUCCCCGGCUUGCUUCAUAUUCUCAUUAUACACAACUUGCCUGAAUUUUAUUGCUUAGGUAGCCAUAAACUACAGAGCUUCAGAUACCUCCUCACUAUUUCCAGCCAGCAGUGAGCCCUGCCUUAGUCACUUUGCGAUGCUCCAAGCCAUCACCCGGGACAAGGCGUGGGCCACCUGUGAGUCCCAGCGUGGUCAGACACCUCCAGCUGGUUCUUGUUACAAGCUGGAUGGUGGCCGAGGUGUGUCCUCCAGGCAUUUAAACAUCAUCUCGGGUCAUGGAGAAAGCAGAUCUCAGGCAGUUAAAGCACCUCAAGGCAGUUCAGGAGGUGAGGAAUAUGGGAAAUUCUUUUUCCUGGUGAGCUGGGUAGGCUGGAAUGGAUAAACUUUUGGGAAGCAAGGACUGUGGCAACACCCGCAGGUGGUGUUGGAGGGCUACGCAAGUUUUGGGCUCCCUGAUACAAGUUUUCAUCCUCCAGUUGGACCGCAAGGAGAGAAUUUCCAUCUUGGAAAUGACUGUAGGGUAGGAACAUUAGAAGAAUAGUUCUUCAUCUUCACGUCUUGCCCUGCUGAAGCUUUUUCCUCGGCAGACCCUGCUGUCCCCUCACACGGGAUGGGUCCUGCUGCAAGGGACGCGGUGGUGCUUCCCUGCUGUAAGGGAAUGUGGCCAGAAAAACACUGGGAGACAGCGGCUGGCAGGGUGUAGCCAGACCUGCCAGUGGCUGCUUCAGUGACUGUGUUUGGAGAAGAGCUUUGUAGAAUACACCGAAGGUAACCCGCUGCCAGCUGUCAUGAUGCCAGGGUUGUAAAAACAUAUAUAUAUAUAUGUGUGUGUGUGUAUACAACACAACACUUGCAGGGGGAAUAGAUAUUAGCAUGUGAAGAAAUGAAUACACUUUGGCAAAGAAGGAAUACUUUUUAUAAGCUGAACUAGAAAUAAAGUAAUAUUCAAUAUAUUAACA